CAGUCGCCGCGGUAAUACGUAGGGUGCGAGCGUUAAUCGGAAUUACUGGGCGUAAAGCGUGCGCAGGCGGCUUUGCAAGACAGAUGUGAAAUCCCCGGGCUCAACCUGGGAACUGCAUUUGUGACUGCAAGGCUAGAGUACGGUAGAGGGGGAUGGAAUUCCGCGUGUAGCAGUGAAAUGCGUAGAUAUGCGGAGGAACACCAAUGGCGAAGGCAAUCCCCUGGACCUGUACUGACGCUCAUGCACGAAAGCGUGGGGAGCAAACAGGAUUAGAGACCCCAGUAGUCCCUGUCUCUUAUAC
RNAcentral lists this ribosomal RNA (301 nucleotides) under uncultured bacterium. Its description in RNAcentral is "partial 16S ribosomal RNA". It matches the Rfam family "Bacterial small subunit ribosomal RNA", at positions 509 to 807 of the family's 1533-position model. The record is from RNAcentral.